This 707-nucleotide long non-coding RNA is filed under the name Astyanax mexicanus (Mexican tetra). RNAcentral's name for it is "lncRNA (ENSAMXG00005019313.1)". Lineage: Eukaryota; Metazoa; Chordata; Actinopteri; Characiformes; Acestrorhamphidae. The record is from RNAcentral.
CUUAAUGUGUUUGAGAGCAUCAGCUGUAAAGUUGUGAAGAGGUAGAGUUGGUAUACAGUGAAUAAUAGCUCUAUAUGAGUAAUGUUCUAAUCCAUAUUAUACCACAGUUAGUUCCGACCCUGCAAUGUGAUUGGUUGAGAGGCGUUUUAUGAGCGACAUUAUUAGGCGAUAACGCACUGUAACCGAAGCUCUCCAUGUAUUACUCCGCCACAUACAGGUAACCUAGCAACAAACAAAAAAAAACUAUACAAACCAAAUGCGAUAUCAUUAAACACCACUGGGGGGCGCUGGAUCCCAUAGGCACAUUGAAGAAAUGCCAUGUCUCCAAUAGGCGGCGCCGGCAAAGACGCGGUCCACACAAAUAAAUAAACACAGCGAUUCGAAAAUACGCAUUAUUACACACAUUAUCAGUUUAAUAGUUGUUAUUAUUAAAAUAAAAGCUUAAGUGUAUAUAUUUUCCAGUUAAUAUAGGGUAUUUUAAGCUGAAUGUAAGGUGGACUCCUCCGCUGGGAGGCGCCGAAGUAAACAAAACUUUAAUUCUUUAAAAAAACAUUUUCUUUCAGUCAAACGAGCACUGGACUUAUCUACACAGAUUUCUCUCCUAAAAAACGUUUAUUUGGGGUGGAGUGUUAGCAGCUGAACAGCCGCAGUGCUAUUUAAACUCGGGUCCUAAAAGACACAUUACUGUUGGACUGUCAGAGAGAGCA